AGCAGCAUGGCGCAGUGGUAGCGCGCGGGGCCCAUAUUAUGUCGGACACCCCGAGGUCACUUGAUCGAAACAAGUUGCUGCUA
Molecule: non-coding RNA, 83 nt
Organism: Lentinula novae-zelandiae
Lineage: Eukaryota; Fungi; Basidiomycota; Agaricomycetes; Agaricales; Omphalotaceae
Source: the annotation of a GenBank genome assembly